This is a long non-coding RNA of Triplophysa rosa, 1189 nucleotides long. RefSeq lists it as uncharacterized. Lineage: Eukaryota; Metazoa; Chordata; Actinopteri; Cypriniformes; Nemacheilidae. The record is from RefSeq and is a predicted model, not a curated record. The transcript has 3 exons.
UUACCUGGCCCAGCGUAGACAUUGUUAUGUCGAGUUCCCGCUACGCCGGGCCCGUAUCCAAAGCAGGAUGAAUUCUGGACGAGCUCAAACUUGCCGUCUCUUUCCCAAAUAUGCAUAAGUCCUUCUUUAGCGCCACAUGUUUUUAAUUAAAGAGUGUUUGGUUGUAUGUUGCCGAGAUGUGAGUCAGAGCGAGAGAGAGCGAUGUGUAAUGCAUAAGGUUUAACGUCUGGGUCAGGAUUUAAGUUCUCAUCGUCGACACCUACGAGCUGUUUGUGCCAACGGUUUGUGUGCUUGUGGUCUGUCGUCUACACGCAGCAAAUCUCUGCGUGUGGUUUAGGGCUGUCUUAGACUGUCUGCCUCUGGCCUUCCUGUUCUAUAUUCAUUGUCUCAUGGUUGUUGUUCCUCUUUUUCCCGCCCGCCUGCAGAUUGUGUCAUGAGGAGCGGACGCUGUCUGAAAGCACGAGACGCUGUCUCACUCCUGCGCUCCUCCACAGGGCUGUGAAGUGGGUGUCUGUGGCAGAUCCUGUACAGAUCAUCUCUUACACUCUGUUCCUGCUGUCUGUUGUGGAACACGGCGCUCCUGCUAGACGACAGACAGAGCGAGAGAAUCACUGAGAGCUCUGCCACCUGCACAUACCUUCCUGAUAAUGUAACUGCCUCAAGGCCCAAACUUCACUGUAUUAUCAACAUUCCCAACCAAGCCAUCCAUCUAUCCAACCAUCUCUGUAUUCACUACGCUUUAGUGUGUCAGAAGCAUCUUGGCGAUGUUGCCACAGUUCUUAUGGAAUUCUGGAAUCUCUUCAUGCAAUCCCUGGAAGACUUCAUGGUGAAAUCAGAUCUGUGUGUGGUCCAUAUACCAUCUGUUGUAUGACUCUCACUUACUACAGUUAAUGUCUGGAAAUCCAUAAGGAUAUUUCCCGCUGACACAUUACAGCAAACGAUAUACUAAAUGAAAAGAAAGUUCAUUUGAACAAUGGACGCAAGAGUUUGCGAGGCGUACGUCUGUCAGCGGGAGCUGCAGCCGUUGCAGUGGUGAGGCGCGAUGAUUGACAGGUCAAGGCGGAGGAGAGCUUUUAUUAAUAAAAGUUGUAUUUCUUUGUUUAAUAUAAGUAGCGUUGUCCUUGUUUUAUUGUUGCAUUUUCCUUUAAAAUAAUAAUAAACCACAAACUGUGUUGAAGUAAGGGUAAAA